RNAcentral lists this ribosomal RNA (1326 nucleotides) under uncultured Alphaproteobacteria bacterium. RNAcentral describes it as "bacterial SSU rRNA". It matches the Rfam family "Bacterial small subunit ribosomal RNA", at positions 29 to 1401 of the family's 1533-position model. The record is from RNAcentral. Lineage: Bacteria; Pseudomonadati; Pseudomonadota; Alphaproteobacteria.
ACGUACGCUGGCGGCACGCCUAACACAUGCAAGUCGAACGAAGUAGCAAUACUUAGUGGCAGACGGGUGAGUAACAUGUAGGUAUCUGCCCUUUGGCCUGGAAUAACACGAGGAAACUUGUGCUAAUACCGGAUAAGUCUUUACGGAGAAAGCUUUAUGCACCAUUGGAUGAGCCUGCACUUGAUUAGUUUGUUGGUGGGGUAAUGGCCUACCAAGACUUUGAUCAAUAGCUGAUUUGAGAGGAUGAUCAGCCACAUUGGGACUGAGACACGGCCCAAACUCCUACGGGAGGCAGCAGUGGGGAAUCUUGCACAAUGGAGGAAACUCUGAUGCAGCGAUGCCGCGUGAGUGAAGAAGGCCCUUGGGUUGUAAAGCUCUUUCGUCGGGGAAGAAAAUGACUGUACCCGAAUAAGAAGGUCCGGCUAACUUCGUGCCAGCAGCCGCGGUAAUACGAAGGGACCUAGCGUAGUUCGGAAUUACUGGGCUUAAAGAGUUCGUAGGUGGUUGAAAAAGUUGGUGGUGAAAUCCCAGAGCUUAACUCUGGAACUGCCAUCAAAACUUUUCAGCUAGAGUUUGAUAGAGGAAAGCAGAAUUUCUAGUGUAGAGGUGAAAUUCGUAGAUAUUAGAAAGAAUACCAAUUGCGAAGGCAGCUUUCUGGAUCAUUACUGACACUGAGGAACGAAAGCAUGGGUAGCGAAGAGGAUUAGAUACCCUCGUAGUCCAUGCCGUAAACGAUGUGUGUUAGACGUUGGAAAUUUAUUUUCAGUGUCGCAGCGAAAGCGAUAAACACACCGCCUGGGGAGUACGACCGCAAGGUUAAAACUCAAAUGAAUUGACGGGGACCCGCACAAGUAGUGGAGCAUGUGGUUUAAUUCGAAGAUACGCGCAGAACCUUACCAACACUUGACAUGUUCGUCGCGACUCUAAGAGAUUAGAGUUUUCGGUUCGGCCGGACGAAACACAGGUGCUGCAUGGCUGUCGUCAGCUCGUGUCGUGAGAUGUUGGGUUAAGUCCCGCAACGAGCGCAACCCUCACUUUUAGUUGCCAUCAUUAAGUUGGGCACUCUGAAAGAACUGCCAGUGAUAAGCUGGAGGAAGGUGGGGAUGACGUCAAGUCCUCAUGGCCCUUACGUGUUGGGCUACACACGUGCUACAAUGGUAUCUACAACAGGAAGCAAGGCGGCGACGUCAAGCAAAUCCUUAAAAGAUACCUCAGUUCGGAUUGCACUCUGCAACUCGAGUGCAUGAAGCUGGAAUUACUAGUAAUCGUGGAUCAGCGUGCCACGGUGAAUGCGUUCCCCGGGUCUUGUACACACCGCCCGUCAAG